Molecule: ribosomal RNA, 253 nt
Filed under: uncultured bacterium
Lineage: Bacteria
Description: partial 16S ribosomal RNA
Rfam family: Bacterial small subunit ribosomal RNA
Source: RNAcentral
UACAGAGGGUGCGAGCGUUAAUCGGAAUUACUGGGCGUAAAGGGCGCGUAGGCGGAUCGAUGGGUGUGAUGUGAAAGCCCUGGGCUUAACCUGGGAAGUGCAUCGCAAACUAUGGAUCUGGAGUAGAUGAGAGGGUGGCGGAAUUUCCGGUGUAGCGGUGAAAUGCGUAGAGAUCGGAAGGAACGUCGAUGGCGAAGGCAGCCACCUGGCAUCAUACUGACGCUGAGGCGCGAAAGCGUGGGGAGCGAACAGG